This 1343-nucleotide ribosomal RNA is filed under the name uncultured bacterium. RNAcentral describes it as "16S ribosomal RNA". It matches the Rfam family "Bacterial small subunit ribosomal RNA", at positions 28 to 1378 of the family's 1533-position model. The record is from RNAcentral.
GACGAACGCUGGCGGCGUGCUUAACACAUGCAAGUCGAACGGAAAGGCCCUGCUUUUGUGGGGUGCUCGAGUGGCGAACGGGUGAGUAACACGUGAGUAACCUGCCCUUGACUUUGGGAUAACUUCAGGAAACUGGGGCUAAUACCGGAUAGGAGCUCCUGCUGCAUGGUGGGGGUUGGAAAGUUUCGGCGGUUGGGGAUGGACUCGCGGCUUAUCAGCUUGUUGGUGGGGUAGUGGCCUACCAAGGCUUUGACGGGUAGCCGGCCUGAGAGGGUGACCGGCCACAUUGGGACUGAGAUACGGCCCAGACUCCUACGGGAGGCAGCAGUGGGGAAUAUUGCACAAUGGGCGGAAGCCUGAUGCAGCAACGCCGCGUGCGGGAUGACGGCCUUCGGGUUGUAAACCGCUUUCGCCUGUGACGAAGCGUGAGUGACGGUAAUGGGUAAAGAAGCACCGGCUAACUACGUGCCAGCAGCCGCGGUGAUACGUAGGGUGCGAGCGUUGUCCGGAUUUAUUGGGCGUAAAGGGCUCGUAGGUGGUUGAUCGCGUCGGAAGUGUAAUCUUGGGGCUUAACCCUGAGCGUGCUUUCGAUACGGGUUGACUUGAGGAAGGUAGGGGAGAAUGGAAUUCCUGGUGGAGCGGUGGAAUGCGCAGAUAUCAGGAGGAACACCAGUGGCGAAGGCGGUUCUCUGGGCCUUUCCUGACGCUGAGGAGCGAAAGCGUGGGGAGCGAACAGGCUUAGAUACCCUGGUAGUCCACGCUGUAAACGGUGGGUACUAGGUGUGGGGUCCAUUCCACGGGUUCCGUGCCGUAGCUAACGCUUUAAGUACCCCGCCUGGGGAGUACGGCCGCAAGGCUAAAACUCAAAGGAAUUGACGGGGCCCCGCACAAGCGGCGGAGCAUGCGGAUUAAUUCGAUGCAACGCGUAGAACCUUACCUGGGUUUGACAUGGAUCGGGAGUGCUCAGAGAUGGGUGUGCCUCUUUUGGGGUCGGUUCACAGGUGGUGCAUGGCUGUCGUCAGCUCGUGUCGUGAGAUGUUGGGUUAAGUCCCGCAACGAGCGCAACCCUUGUUCACUGUUGCCAGCACGUUAUGGUGGGGACUCAGUGGAGACCGACGGGGUCAACUCGGAGGAAGGUGGGGAUGACGUCAAGUCAUCAUGCCCCUUAUGUCCAGGGCUUCACGCAUGCUACAAUGGCUGGUACAGAGAGUGGCGAGCCUGUGAGGGUGAGCGAAUCUCGGAAAGCCGGUCUCAGUUCGGAUUGGGGUCUGCAACUCGACCUCAUGAAGUCGGAGUCGCUAGUAAUCGUAGAUCAGCAACGCUGCGGUGAAUACGUUCCCGGG